AGAAAGUAUUUAAUCAAACACUAUACAGAAAAAUAAAAAAGAUACAAGUGCAACUGUUGAGGUAGUAAUAAUUAGCAACUAAAGGUUACAAUAAAAUAGCACUGACAUGGGAAAGUCUAAAACCCUGAGUAAAAACAAAAUCUGUAAACUGCAGCUCUGCAACAUCAAGGUUCUGUCUCUUCCAAGGAGCAGCAGAGGAUGAUCCUGCCCCAUCUGAUCAGUGGCUCUCUGGCCAGUAAAUCAGCAGUGGACUUUGAAUGCAACAAAAGAACAAAUGAACUCCAUAGCUCUAAGAGCCCUUCAAAACUGAAUGGAUUCUGUCACAAACAAGCUGUUGUGCCUGAGAGUGAUGAACUAGCUGUCAUGAGGUCUAAAGGGUUUAUGUUCCCCCUCACCAACUGCCUUCUUCAGCACCAGUGUCCUCCAGGACUGGAAAAACGUGGCUGGCCAGACCCAGUUCCUGGGUCAAGCUACUGUAUUUUGGUGCUGGAGAGGAAGAGAUUUCCAGUGAAACAGUUAAAGGUAUCAAAAUGUCAACAGAUGUCAAAAGGAAUGGGUCCUGAAAUACCACAGAGUAGAAAGGUAGAUGAACAGAAACUGAAAGCGGGAAUUGCUUCUAUCAAAAUGAGAUAAGCAUCUUGGUAAAAAAAAAAUAUAUAUAUAUAUAUGUA
RNAcentral lists this long non-coding RNA (671 nucleotides) under Anas platyrhynchos platyrhynchos (common mallard). RNAcentral describes it as "lncRNA (ENSAPLG00000022453.1)". The record is from RNAcentral. Lineage: Eukaryota; Metazoa; Chordata; Aves; Anseriformes; Anatidae.